GGAGAGUAAACCUAGCAGGGGCUGGGACCUCGGUGCUAACGAGUGGGCGCAGGGCGAAAACUCUGCGUGCGGUUCGAGUCCGCUGCUCUCCG
RNAcentral lists this transfer RNA (92 nucleotides) under Armatimonas rosea. RNAcentral's name for it is "tRNA-Ser". Lineage: Bacteria; Bacillati; Armatimonadota; Armatimonadia; Armatimonadales; Armatimonadaceae. The record is from RNAcentral.